RNAcentral lists this transfer RNA (77 nucleotides) under Methylovulum psychrotolerans. RNAcentral describes it as "tRNA-Met". It matches the Rfam family "tRNA". Rfam says of the family: Transfer RNA (tRNA) molecules are approximately 80 nucleotides in length. The record is from RNAcentral. Lineage: Bacteria; Pseudomonadati; Pseudomonadota; Gammaproteobacteria; Methylococcales; Methylococcaceae.
GGCGAUAUAGCUCAGUUGGUUAGAGCACGGGAUUCAUAACCCCGGGGUCGGCGGUUCAAAUCCACCUAUCGCCACCA